RNAcentral lists this non-coding RNA (245 nucleotides) under Ectothiorhodospira sp. Lineage: Bacteria; Pseudomonadati; Pseudomonadota; Gammaproteobacteria; Chromatiales; Ectothiorhodospiraceae. The record is from RNAcentral.
CCCGUGCGUCCGGCCUACGGUCGGCGUCGAGUGUCGUGAUCGGGAAGCCGGUGCGGCAGGUGACGUGAAUAUAUUUCACACACCGGCCAAGGCCGGCGCUGUCCCCGCAACGGUAGGCGAGUCAAAGUGUGGCAUCACGUCACUGUGCCGAAGGCGUAAUACUGCGUCCGGCAUGGGAAGGCGCCUCACCGGAAGCAUAGCUUCCUCUCGUAAGCCCGGAGACCGGCCUCAAGCAACGACGCCAC